RNAcentral lists this transfer RNA (76 nucleotides) under Gammaproteobacteria bacterium. Its description in RNAcentral is "tRNA-Asn". It matches the Rfam family "tRNA". From Rfam's summary of the family: Transfer RNA (tRNA) molecules are approximately 80 nucleotides in length. Lineage: Bacteria; Pseudomonadati; Pseudomonadota; Gammaproteobacteria. The record is from RNAcentral.
GGCAGUGUAGCACAGUUGGAUAGUACGCUCGGCUGUUAUAACCGAGAGAUCGAAGGUUCGAUUCCUUCCACUGCCG